RNAcentral lists this ribosomal RNA (505 nucleotides) under uncultured bacterium. RNAcentral's name for it is "partial 16S ribosomal RNA". It matches the Rfam family "Bacterial small subunit ribosomal RNA", at positions 28 to 507 of the family's 1533-position model. The record is from RNAcentral.
GACGAACGCUGGCGGCGUGCCUAAUACAUGCAAGUAGAACGCACAGUUUAUACCGUAGCUUGCUACACCAUAGACUGUGAGUUGCGAACGGGUGAGUAACGCGUAGGUAACCUGCCUGGUAGCGGGGGAUAGCUAUUGGAAACGAUAGCUAAUACCGCAUAAUAUUAAUUAUUGCAUGAUAAUUGAUUGAAAGAUGCAACUGCAUCACUACCAGAUGGACCUGCGUUGUAUUAGCUAGUAGGUGAGGUAACGGCUCACCUAGGCGACGAUACAUAGCCGACCUGAGAGGGUGAUCGGCCACACUGGGACCGAGACACGGCCCAGACUCCUACGGGAGGCAGCAGUAGGGAAUCUUCGGCAAUGGACGAAAGUCUGACCGAGCAACGCCGCGUGAGUGAAGAAGGUUGUCGGAUCGUAAAGCUCUGUUGUAAGAGAAGAACGGGUGUGAGAGUGGAAAGUUCACACUGUGACGGUAUCUUACCAGAAAGGGACGGCUAACUACGUG